This is an RNA transcript of Macadamia integrifolia, 2465 nucleotides long. It is a transcript of the gene named F-box protein CPR1-like, with no coding region annotated. The record is from RefSeq and is a predicted model, not a curated record. The transcript has 3 exons. NCBI's taxonomy places the organism in Eukaryota, Viridiplantae, Streptophyta, Magnoliopsida, Proteales, Proteaceae.
ACCUUCACUGCGUCACGCACAACGCAAAGGGAACCACUUUCUUUGUUGUUGCGGCUGCCGGCCUGCGUUUCCCUCCACCACUGCUUGUUCUAUACUCGCUUACGUUUCUUCACUUCGAAGAUGAAACCUAGUCCCUAUCCAUGGCAGAGUUCACCGAGAAGAUAACCGAAGAGGAGGCAAUACCGACCAAGAACCUGCCAGAGGUCCUCAUCGCCGACAUACUUUCAAGGCUUCCGGUCAAGUCUCUUCUAAAAUUCCGGUGUGUAUGCAAAACCUGGUGUGCUCUUAUAGCCGAUCCUGCCUUCGUCAAAGAGCACCUCAAUCGAUCCCUUGCAAGCAAUAGCAACCUCAGCCUCAUUUUUAGACGUUGCGCUCUCUUCUCUGUCGAUUUAGAUACUUGCGAACAACGAGCGGCGGUAGAACUUGAUCAUCCGCUCAAGAGCCCACAUUUAGCAACCGAAGUAUUGGGUUCGUGCAACGGUUUACUCUGUAUAUCCAACUCUGACGAAGACAUAUUGCUCUGGAAUCCUUCUAUCAGAAGGCAUCAUAAGCUGCCCAUUACACCUAUAGAGUUUCCAGUCAGAUUCGACUCUCCCCGUCUCAUAGUUUACGGAUUAGGUUAUGAUCCCACCACCGACGAUUACAAGCUGGUUAGGGUUGUGCAGUUUUAUGGUGACAGUGAGUACUCUUGUGAUUCGGAGGUGAAGGUCUACUCACUUAGGACCAAUUCAUGGAGAAGGAUCAGGGACAUGCCAUACCAUCUCAGCUACGAACGUGGAUUUGGGGUUCUGAACAAUUCAUGGAGAAAGAUCAGGGACAUGCCAUACCAUCUCAGCUACAAACGUGGAUAUGGGGUUCUUGCAAAUUAUGCUCUUCAUUGGGUUGCAAUGCGCGAGACAGGACGUGACACUGCCUCCACUUUUAUCGUUUCCUUCGACCUACAAGAUGAAUAUUAUCGAGAGAUUCCACUACCUGACUUUGUGGACGAUGAGUUUCAUAUGACUGUUGGGGUUCUUGGCGGACAACUCUGCUUGCUCUGCAACUUCUUCAGGGUCCGUGUUGAGGUUUGGGUGAUGAAGGAAUAUGGCGUGAGGGAUUCUUGGUUGAAACAGUUCUCCAUUGAACAACCAGAUGUGAUAAGUUCUUUUAUGUUUGUCAGACCAAUUUGCUAUUCAAAGAAUGGGGAUGUUAUACUCGACAAGGAUUCAGAAGCGCCGCUUCUCCUGUAUGAUUCCCUUAGGGAAAGGGUUAGGAAUCUUAGGAUUCGCGGUGCUCCAGAUAGGAUGGAAACAGAGAUCUGUGUUGGGAGUCUCGUUCCACUCAAUGCGAAGGAUGGAACUGAACAACCAGCAAUGAUGAAAAAGCACAGGAAGCAUAAGAAGAGAAGGUUCAUGGAGCAGAGAAUAGGGAGAAACUUCAUUGGAAGUGUAUGAACAUAUCUAGCCUGAGGAAGGAAACUGGAUGAUGGAUUUGUGAUGAAAAUUGUUCCAUUAUAUGAAGGUAUAGGCUCUUGGGUGGUGUAAACUAUGAUCCUCUAAAUGAAUAAGCUGUCAUGUAAUAUAAUUAUACUAAGAUGCCCAGUACACCUAUAGAGUUUCCUGUUAGAUUCAACUUUUGCUGUCUCAUUGUUAAGGGAUACAGUUACGACCCCACAACCAUUGAUUACAAGCUGGUAAGGGUUGUGCAGUUUUAUGGUGACGAUGGCUACUCUUACGAUUUUGCGGUGAAGAAGGUCUACUCACUUAGCACCAAUGAAUGGAGAAGGAUUGUGGACAUGCCAUUUCAUCUUGCUAGAUGGUACCUGACCGCCUCCAGUUUUAUCGUUUCAUCUGACCUUCAAGAUGAGGAGUAUUGAGAGGUGCCACUACCUGACUUUGUGGGCAAUGGGUUUCAUAUGAAUGCCGGGGUUCUUGGAGGACAUCUCUAUGUGAUCUGUAACUUCCCCAGGGUCUGUGCUGAUGUUUGGAUGAUGAAGGAUUAAGGCAUGAGGAAUUCUUGGGAGAAACAGUUCUCCAUCAAACAACUGUCAGCGGGCUGGCUGAUGUUGGAUCUGCGGAGCUGUGGUGAGGAUGAGGAAGAUGGAACAGGAAAAUUAAAAGCAAGGACAUGAAGACACAGGUGCUUCUUGGUGUGAAGCAGCUGUUGUGUGUAUACUCUCAAUUGAUUGGCGAACAAUGAAGCAGCUGUUGUGUGUAUACUCUCAAUUGAUUGCCGAUUCCUGUUCACCGUGGGUGUAGGAAAACUCAGUGCAAAUCUAAGUCUCAUUCAUUUCAGACAAUCUGGUCGUAGGUCCAACUAUGUAACCAAUGAUCCUCCAAAAUCUGUAUCGGUAAGUAAUAGGAGUAGAUUUGGAUGGCAAUCCAUGAGCAAAUAUAGUGGAUUAGUGACUAGUUGGUGACUAGAUUUGAUACCUAUGAAUCUAGAUGGAGUUAAAUUUCUAUAGAUACCACAAUUUCUCAUGCUAA